RNAcentral lists this ribosomal RNA (329 nucleotides) under uncultured eukaryote. Its description in RNAcentral is "partial 18S ribosomal RNA". It matches the Rfam family "Eukaryotic small subunit ribosomal RNA", at positions 1470 to 1796 of the family's 1831-position model. The record is from RNAcentral.
UCCUUAGAUGUUCUGGGCCGCACGCGCGCUACACUGACAGAGCCAGCGAGUUUUUUUCCUUGGCCGGAAGGUCUGGGUAAUCUUGUGAAACUCUGUCGUGCUGGGGAUAGAGCAUUGCAAUUAUUGCUCUUCAACGAGGAAUACCUAGUAAGCGUGAGUCAUCAGCUCGCGUUGAUUACGUCCCUGCCCUUUGUACACACCGCCCGUCGCUACUACCGAUUGAAUGGCUUAGUGAGGUCUUGGGAUUGGCUUCGAGGAACCGGCAACGGUACCUUGUUGCUGAGAACUUGAUCAAACUUGGUCAUUUAGAGGAAGUAAAAGUCGUAACA